RNAcentral lists this ribosomal RNA (253 nucleotides) under uncultured bacterium. Its description in RNAcentral is "partial 16S ribosomal RNA". It matches the Rfam family "Bacterial small subunit ribosomal RNA", at positions 524 to 776 of the family's 1533-position model. The record is from RNAcentral.
UACGUAGGGGGCAAGCGUUGUCCGGAAUCAUUGGGCGUAAAGAGCGCGUAGGCGGCCCAGUAAGUCCGCUCUGAAAGUCAGGGGCUCAACCCCUGGAUGCGGGUGGAUACUGCUGGGCUAGAGUCCGGAAGAGGUGAGUGGAAUUCCUGGUGUAGCGGUGAAAUGCGCAGAUAUCAGGAAGAACACCCGUGGCGAAGGCGGCUCUCUGGGACGGUACUGACGCUGAGACGCGAAAGCGUGGGGAGCGAACAGG